AGAGUUUGAUCAUGGCUCAGGAUGAACGCUAGCUACAGGCUUAACACAUGCAAGUCGAGGGGAAACGACAUCGAAAGCUUGCUUUUGAUGGGCGUCGACCGGCGCACGGGUGAGUAACGCGUAUCCAACCUGCCCAUCACUUGGGGAUAACCUUGCGAAAGUAAGACUAAUACCCAAUGAUAUCUCUAGAAGGCAUCUAAAAGAGAUUAAAGAUUUAUCGGUGAUGGAUGGGGAUGCGUCUGAUUAGCUUGUGGCGGGUAACGGCCACCAAAGCAACGAUCAGUAGGGGUUCUGAGAGGAAGGUCCCCCANAUUGGAACUGAGACACGGUCCAAACUCCUACGGGAGGCA
This 350-nucleotide ribosomal RNA is filed under the name uncultured bacterium. RNAcentral's name for it is "bacterial SSU rRNA". It matches the Rfam family "Bacterial small subunit ribosomal RNA", at positions 8 to 350 of the family's 1533-position model. The record is from RNAcentral.